Molecule: long non-coding RNA, 2225 nt
Organism: Nerophis ophidion (straightnose pipefish)
Lineage: Eukaryota; Metazoa; Chordata; Actinopteri; Syngnathiformes; Syngnathidae
Exons: 3
Source: RefSeq, a predicted model, not a curated record
GUUUCGAAAAUUCACCAUGACGUCGCCGUGGAGUUAUCCAGUCUGCUCAGCUGAUUGGAGAGCUAGCUUCCGCAUGACCAUGAGUUCUGUUUUGUUGGAUCAGCCGUUUUACUGCCGUGUUACGGACACCGUUUGGAAACAAUUAUGGAGUUCUCGCCUGGGAGUGCCAUCUCCGGGUUGGGGAGGAGAUCAAGUACCUAGGAGUUGUCGCGACGGAGGGGGUCGUUCUCCCAGGAAGGCAGACGGACAACUCAAGACAUGGCGUUUAAGUGACUAAAAAGAUUCAAACAAAACGUGGACAUUCUGGACGUUCGGCGUCAAAUUGGCUUCCCCCCCCUCUCUCCUCCCUUCCUCCGUCCAGGUCUGGGUGCCUCUCCGGGUUGUCAGAGGACACGUCAGGACUUAAUGCUUUCCAAUCUUCUCCCCAACACACACUGUCGCCUCUCAUUUACGGAGCCGCUGACAAGGACGGCGGCCCGUCUCCACGCCUUCGUCCCCCCGCCCACUCCUCGCUGCCUCUGCCGUGCUCACAAGUCAUUAGUCCACCACCUGAGCCAUCAGCCCCACUUCUCACCUCACCCCGGGUACGUAUUAAUAACAAUUCUCACGCUUUUAUUCACUUUUCUGUAACUGUUCAUCCGCUCCUGGCCGGUGUGACCAAAUCCAGAACUCGCUCUGUGUGUAGUCAUCGUCUUCUGUCCGACACUUUCCUAUCUAUUUGUCUCCGUGUCAGCGCUCACCACCACUUUAGUCCCCCUUACCGUGCCAGCAAGAGUAAACACUAGUUGCCCGGCAUCAAUCACGUAGCACACACACACACACACACACACACACACACACACACACACACACACACAGGUCUCCAAUUUCUUCCCUCCUCCCAACAAUUGAACACAGAAAACAGUCACAACAACCUCAAACGAGACAAUAUGCGGCGUGUGUGUGUGUUCUUGUAUGUCUACCCUUCUCGAGACGUGAAGAAGGAAAAGUAUCUUCCAUAUGAGGAGGUGUGAAGAAGUGAUGACAUAAAUCAUGAUCCCAAUAACAUUGCAUCUAAUAGACAAUGACUCAUUUGCACCCCUUGUGGUCAAAAUAAGGAUGGUCCCCAAAAGGACGGAUUUUUCAAAGUGACCGUGUGUCGCUUUUAAAAGUGCCCCCCCCCCCCCCCCCCCCUGGUCAACAUAUGAAAUAACAAGUGUGUGUUUAAAAUUGGAAGUGCUUCCCCUCUUGUCAACAUAUGAAGUAACAAGUGUGUGUUUAAAAUUUGAAGUGCUUCCCCUCAGGUCAACAUAUGAAAUAACAAGUGUGUGUUAAAAUUGGAAGUGCUCCCCCUCUGGUCAACAUAUGAAGUAACAAGUGUGUCUUUGAAAUUUGAAGUGCUCCCCAUCUGGUCAACAUAUGAAGUAACAAGUGUGUGUUUGAAAUUUGAAGUGCUCCCCCUCUGGUCAACAUAUGAAGUAACAAGUGUGUGUUUGAAAUUGGAAGUGCUCCCCCUCUGGUCAACAUAUGAAGUAACAAGUGUGUGUUUGAAAUUUGAAGUGCUCCCCCUCUGGUCAACAUAUGAAAUAACAAGUGUGUGUUAAAAUUGGAAGUGCUCCCCCUCUGGUCAACAUAUGAAAUAACAAGUGUGUGUGAGAAAUUUAAAAUGCGCCCCCAUUGGCAAAAAUGUAUUAAAAAAAAAAUAUAUAUGUAUAUAGAGACAUACUGUAAUAACUUGAGAUAGUGACGAUUAAAAACAAUUACAAAAUGAUAAUAGUAGAUUUUAUUUGUAAAAAAAAAAGCACUUCUGUCUAUCCGUGUUGGCCUUGCAAUGAGGUGGCGACUUGUCCAGGGUGUACGCCGCCUUCCGGCCGAAUGCAGCUCCACAUAGGCUCCAGCUACCACCCCAGCGACUCCAAAAGGCACAAGCGGUAGAAAAUAAAUGGAUGGCACUUUAGAUUGAGCAAACAACCUCAAACUGCUACAGUGUAUUAAAAAAAUAAAAUAAAAAGAUAAUAAUUAAAAAUAAAAAAACUAGAACAGCCUAAUAGCUAGAACUAGUUAGUAUAUGUCCAAAAAAAGGCUUAAAGAAGGGUUUUUAAGCCUUUUUUAAAAGCAUCCACAGUCUGUGGUGCCCCCAGGUGGUCAGGGAGAGUGUUCCACUGACUGGGAGCGGUGGAGCAGAAAGUCCGGUCCCACCAUUGUUCGUAGCUUUGUCCUCGGAGUUUGGAACAAAAUAAACUAAA